UAGGGAAUCUUCGGCAAUGGACGAAAGUCUGACCGAGCAACGCCGCGUGAGUGAAGAAGGUUUUCGGAUCGUAAAACUCUGUUGGUAGAGAAGAACGUUGGUGAGAGUGGAAAGCUCAUCAAGUGACGGUAACUACCCAGAAAGGGACGGCUAACUACGUGCCAGCAGCCGCGGUAAUACGUAGGUCCCGAGCGUUGUCCGGAUUUAUUGGGCGUAAAGCGAGCGCAGGUGGUUUAUUAAGUCUGGUGUAAAAUGCAGGGGCGCAACCAUUGUAUGCAUUGGAAACUUGUAGACUUGAGUGCAGGAGAGGAGAGUGGAAUUCCAUGUGUAGCGGUGAAAUGCGUAGAUAUAUGGAGGAACACCGGUGGCGAAAGCGGCUCUCUGGCCUGUAACUGACACUGAGGCUCGAAAGCGUGGGGAGCAAACA
This 427-nucleotide ribosomal RNA is filed under the name uncultured bacterium. RNAcentral describes it as "partial 16S ribosomal RNA". It matches the Rfam family "Bacterial small subunit ribosomal RNA", at positions 355 to 774 of the family's 1533-position model. The record is from RNAcentral.